This is a long non-coding RNA of Ictalurus punctatus (channel catfish), 2665 nucleotides long. Lineage: Eukaryota; Metazoa; Chordata; Actinopteri; Siluriformes; Ictaluridae. The record is from Ensembl.
GUAAUAUGGAAGUGAAGCUUUCUGCUCAAACACCAUUUGAUCCAGAUUUCAUUUAAGGGCUAGGACAUGUUAACACAACACAGGGCUGAGUACUGUUAUCUCUCACUGGACAUUAUUAAAUUAUAUUAAUAUCUGAUAGCUUCUAACUAUCUAGAUGCUAUCUAGCUAAAUGUAUAGCAGUCAGCUAAUAAUGACUCUUUAUUGGUCACCUAUACAUUAUAGCACAGUGAAAUUCUUUUCUUUGCAUACCCCAGCAUACUAGGAAUUUGGGGUCAGAGUGCAGGGUCAGCCAUGAUACAGCACCCCCUGGAGCAGAGAGGGUUAAGGGCCUUGCUGAACAGUGGCAGCUUGGCUGCACCAGGGUUUGAACCCCUGACCUUCUGAUCAGUAACCCAGAGCCUUAACCAUCAAGCGACCACUACCCCUUUAAUCCCAGUUAAAGAGCCAUUAUUCUUUCUGUUUUCUAUCUUUUUUUUUUUUUUUACUAGAAAGAAGAACAUGAUCUGUACAAGCUAAAUGGUUAAAACUGCACUAGAACAUAAAUUGAUACUGUAUCUUGAAGGAUGUUGAAUAAUCUAGAACUUUACUGGAAGGACAUUGAAUAUUCUAGAACAUAAAUGGAAGCAUGUUGAACUAGAACUAGAGCUUUACCAUAGGCAUGUUGAAUAUUCUAGAAUGUAAUGGUUGUGUGUUGAAUAUUCUAGAAUGCAAAUGGAAGCCUGUUGAAUAUUCUAGAAUGUAAAUGGUUGUGUGUUGAAUAUUCUAGAAUGUAAAUGGAAGCUGUUGAAUAUUCUAGAAUGCAAAUGGAAGCGUGUUGAAUAUUCUAGAAUGCAAAUGGUUGUUUGUUGAAUAUUCUGGAUUGUAAAUGGAAACGUGUUGAAUAUUCUAGAAUGUAAAUAGUUGUGUGUUGAAUAUCCUUGAAUGUAAAUGGUUGUGUGCUAAAUAUUCUAGAAUGUAAAUAGAAUGUGUUUAAUAUUUUUAUUGUAUUCUAGCUGUUAGCUUUGUAUAGUCCGGUGUUUAUUACAGCAGUUACCACCCUACAACUUCUCCCUAACUGCAGGACAAUGAAAAUCAGAUGACAGUGAUCCAGUGCUCAGCUAAUCAGCUAGUCCUAAAUGUAAUAUAAUCUUUAACAGAUUUUUAAAGAAUCUCAUUUAUUUCUACAAGGCCCCAUUUGAUCUGCUGCCAUCUUGAUCCUCAUUUCACCUUAUUUUCUUUUAUCCUUUACUUUAAAGCCUGCGCACUUUUACUGUAACUCAGACCUCUGACUCUGGGGCUUGUUCUGUUUUAAUGAAUGUAUGAAUAUAUGAAUAAAUAAAUCGUUCCAUUUCAGCGCCUUCCAAUAGCCGCUAAGAAGUGUGAUGGCUUUGUGAUUUAUGGGACAUUUGUCUUCUGGUGUGAACCCUUGAAAAGGGGCGUGAUCGAGUGCAGAUUCCCAUUACUGAGCAGUUUCUUCAGGGAGCGAUGAAUAAAUGCAGCGUUUAACCUUUAUUUAAACUUAGUUCCUCCCUCUAGGCUUAACUGCACUCAUCACUACUGAGCCAGCAGACCUUCAUCUAACCUUUAUCUACAAGAUCAAGAGAGCAUUUUAUAAUUAACUUGUUUCGCAGGUUUAACAUAAAAUAAAAAGUCAUUAAAAAAAUUUGCAUUUUUUUUUGUAUAAGAGGAAUAAAACACUUCCGCGCAUGCCGUUACAAGAAAAUAAUCACCUUCAGGGGUGUAUCAGUAACUCUGCUUCAUCGCACCACCACGUCAUUCUUUUUUUUUUUCCUAUAACAGCGUGACAGUGUUUUGUUAUUAUUUACAUAAUCGUUAUCGCUGUACAAUCUUCGCACCACUGAAUAUGCAAAUUCCGAAUAUGCAAAUGAGCACAGAAAGCAAUGUCACAGUGGAGCUCUCUGAAAUUUCUGUGUUGCCAACUGGUAAUUAUGAGUUUGAUGGAGAUGGGAACGGUUUGUUUAAGUUUAAAAUAAUGACUGUAAAUUAUGCAGUUUCAUUAAAUAUUGCACCAACUAUUAUAACAAUGCUAACCAUUCACAAAUCAACCCGACUGAAUGGGCUAACCUUCCAGGACAAGCCAUUACCAAAAACAUCCGGUGUGCUUUUAAUAUAACCGUAAUCACAGUACUUUUAAUAAUGUAUAUAAAAUAUAAUGUUUUGUGCAUAUCAUGUACCAUACUCAGAGUACAGCCACGAGCUGUGUGACAAACUUAUAAGGAAAGAUCCCAGUACAGGAUCUGCGCUUCUGGCUUUUACAUCCUCAUAAACACAAUGGUACAGGAUCUGAAUGGCUGAAUCUACAUAGAUAUAGAUAUCUAGCUAUUACCUUCAGACAUUUAAUGAAUGUGGACAGUACAGAGGACCAUAAUGGUGGUUAUGAAAGAUACCGAUCCAGCCAAUUUGGAGUCCACAAAUGGAAGGGGAUCAUAAGUUUUAAUCGACUAGACACAUAACGCGGGCGAUAAAAUGAAAGCUGUUAAAAGAAAUCAGAUCAUAUUGCAGCCAGUAAAAUGGCUUUUCAAUCAAGCUGUGCGGCUAUUCUGCUUUUCCGACUUGUGUGUUUGGUUGGAUUGUUGUAAGAUGUGUGCAGGAUAUGAUGCUGUCACAUGACACAAAUUAUAUGAUCAAUUGCAGCAAGUUACCUGACAAAAACAUACGUUUGUCG